RNAcentral lists this ribosomal RNA (407 nucleotides) under uncultured bacterium. Its description in RNAcentral is "partial 16S ribosomal RNA". It matches the Rfam family "Bacterial small subunit ribosomal RNA", at positions 28 to 526 of the family's 1533-position model. The record is from RNAcentral.
GACGAACGCUGGCGGCGUGCCUAAUACAUGCAAGUAGGACGCAGUUGCGAACGGGUGAGUAACGCGUAGGUAACUACCUAUUAGAGGGGGGUAACUCUUGGAAACGAUAGCUAAUACCGCAUACUCGUAGAUGGACCUGCGUUGUAUUAGCUAGUAGGUAGGGUAAUGGCCUACCUAGGCAACGCUCCAUAGCCGACCGUGGAGGGGGAUCGGCCAAAAUGGGACUGAGACACGGCCCAGACUCCGAAGGGAGGCAGCAGUAGGGAAUCGUCGGCAAUGGGGGGAACCUUGACCGAGCAACGCCGCGGGAGGGAAGAAGGUUGUCGGAUGGGAAAGCUCUGUUGUUAAGGAAGCGGUACUUAACCAGAAAGGGACGGCUAACUACGUGCCAGCAGCCGCGGUAAUAC